CGUAGCCGUCUGCUUCUUCCGUGUUUGAAGGCGUUCACAACUCACCAUCUACCACGCACGAUCGCUGAUUGUUCCCACCGCUGGUACCAUCGCAAUCACCGGCUGCUGGUUCCGCCGUCGUCGCCGGAAAAUUGCCUAGCCUUAUGCGCCGCCGCGAAGUCCCGCCUUCUGCCAUCGGAGUCUCGUUGCCGAUCUGCUAAGGACGUCCACUCGGUUCGAGGUAAGUGGUUCUCUUCCGUUGUGUUCCUAAAAUAGUCAGCUGGCGGGUAGGGGGCUGACUCUUGGUCGCGGGCGGUGGGGGUAUGUUGUGUGGGAAUUUCUUGAAUGUGGCAUUGCUGAAUUCAUUAUAGGAGUUUGAAUUUGAAAGCAAAGAUGAAUAUUUUCAUGCAUUUUGGAGGGAAUUAGAGUCAAAAGGAGAAUUUUGGAUGCAUUUGGAGUCAAUGGGAGCCAAAGAGAAGUUAUGGAGAUGGAUGCAACACUUCCAAGGGAGUCUAGGAGUGGUAUUUUCAAUGGUUUAGUGAAAUGGAGAUGGAUGCAACACUUCCAACAAAAGCUAAAAUUCUCACAUAGAUCGGUCAAUGUUCGGUAUUUGGACGAUAUCUCGGCCUAGAAAUAUUCAACUUGAGUGAUUCUUAUGUCAUUGGAAA
Molecule: long non-coding RNA, 647 nt
Organism: Ipomoea triloba (trilobed morning glory)
Lineage: Eukaryota; Viridiplantae; Streptophyta; Magnoliopsida; Solanales; Convolvulaceae
Exons: 2
Source: RefSeq, a predicted model, not a curated record